UGAGCUAUUCCUCCCAGCACGCCUGGCAGGACAACUCCGCCAUCAGGGCUGCAGCAGAUGUGGACGAAAGCGCCGGGGCUUCCUUCCAGGGGAGCAUCAAGGCCUCUGAAGCAAGCAGCAGGAUCUGCUUCUGCCAGAUGCCCGGCUGCUUGUCCCUGGACCAGAGAUGCUGAGGGUUGUGAGGAGCAGCAAAAGCUGUGGUCGCACCAUCUCAGACCCCUGGGAAGCAGGGUGAACGUUCACAGCUUUGCCUUGUGUCUCUGCCCUGCAUCAUUUCGAAACUAAGGGUUAUUGUGAAGGAGGGUGCUGAGAACGAGGAGGGGAUCUCCAUCCGUCUCUGUGGGCCUCAGCGCCGCUCCCACCGGCACUCCCUUCCUUCUUCAUGAAUCUGCAACUUUGUGUCCCCCACCACCUAACCCCUCC
RNAcentral lists this long non-coding RNA (423 nucleotides) under Equus caballus (horse). Its description in RNAcentral is "lncRNA (ENSECAG00000055694.1)". Lineage: Eukaryota; Metazoa; Chordata; Mammalia; Perissodactyla; Equidae. The record is from RNAcentral.